AUUACUCGCCAUUUCAAAAUGCUGCCGAGGCCCUAGGACCUGUGACUGCCACCCCUCCCCCCACCCGGGCUCGGCGGGGGAGCGACUCAUGGAGCUGCCGUAAGUUUUACCAACAGACUGCAGUUUCUUCACUGCCAAAAUGACAUCAUUUUCCACCUCUGCCCAGUGUUCAACAUCUGACAGUGCUUGCAGGAUCUCUCCUGGACAAGUCAAUCAGGUACGACCAAAACUGCCACUUUUGAAGAUUUUGCAUGCAGCAGGUGCGCAAGGUGAAAUGUUCACUGUUAAAGAGGUCAUGCACUAUUUAGGUCAGUACAUAAUGGUGAAGCAACUUUAUGAUCAGCAGGAGCAGCAUAUGGUAUAUUGUGGUGGAGAUCUUUUGGGAGAACUACUGGGACGUCAGAGCUUCUCCGUGAAAGACCCAAGCCCUCUCUAUGAUAUGCUAAGAAAGAAUCUUGUCACUUUAGCCACUGCUACUACAGGAUCACAGUAUGGAUAUUCCAAGUCAAGACCAACUGAAGCAAAGUGCAGAGGAAAGUUCCACUUCCAGGAAAAGAACUACAGAAGACGAUAUCCCCACACUGCCUACCUCAGAGCAUAAAUGCAUAAAUUCUAGAGAAGAUGAAGACUUAAUUGAAAAUUUAACCCAAGAUGAGACGUCUAGGCUGGACCUUGGAUUUGAGGAAUGGGAUGUAGCUGGCCUGCCUUGGUGGUUUUUAGGAAACUUGAGAAGCAACUAUACACCUAGAAGUAAUGGCUCAACUGAUUUACAGACAAAUCAGGAUGUGGGUACUGCCAUUGUUUCAGAUACUACAGAUGACUUGUGGUUUUUGAAUGAGUCAGUAUCAGAGCAGUUAGGUGUUGGAAUAAAAGUUGAAGCUGCUGAUACUGAACAAACAAGUGAAGAAGUAGGGAAAGUAAGUGACAAAAAGGUGAUUGAAGUGGGAAAAAAUGAUGACCUGGAGGACUCUAAGUCCUUAAGUGAUGAUACCGAUGUAGAAGUUACCUGUGAGGAUGAGUGGCAAUGUACUGAAUGCAAGAAAUUUAACUCUCCAAGCAAGAGGUACUGUUUUCGUUGUUGGGCCUUGAGGAAGGAUUGGUAUUCAGAUUGUUCAAAGUUAACCCAUUCUCUCUCCACGUCUGAUAUCACUGCCAUACCUGAAAAGGAAAAUGAAGGAAAUGAUGUCCCUGAUUGUCGAAGAACCAUUUCGGCUCCUGUCGUUAGACCUAAAGAUGUGUAUAUAAAGAAAGAAAACUCCAAACUUUUUGAUCCCUGCAACUCGGUGGAAUUCUUGGAUUUGGCUCACAGUUCUGAAAGCCAAGAGACCAUCUCAAGCAUGGGAGAACAGUUAGAUAACCUUUCUGAACAGAGAACAGAUACAGAAAACAUGGAGGAUUGCCAGAAUCUCUUGAAGCCAUGUAGCUUAUGUGAGAAAAGACCACGAGACGGAAACAUUAUUCAUGGGAGGACGGGCCAUCUUGUCACUUGUUUUCACUGUGCCAGAAGACUAAAGAAGGCUGGGGCUUCAUGUCCUAUUUGUAAGAAAGAGAUUCAGCUGGUUAUUAAGGUUUUUAUAGCAUAAUGGUAGUACGAACAUAAAAAUGCAUUUAUUCAGUCCACUUACCACAUUAUUUGAAAAUCAAUCCUUUAUUUAAUUUUAUUUCCAACCUGUCAGAGAAUGUUCUUAGGCAUCAAAAUCCAAGGUAGCUGUAAGAAAAAUACUGGAGCUAACAAUGAAGAACAGAAGUAAUCUGAUUAGUCAAAUUAUGAAGUGCCAUGGAUUACUUUAUGCAGCAGUCAGGUACAUAGUUAGGUGAACCCAAAAGAAAAACUCUUGAAAACAAGAGAUUUCUUCCAUGCAUGUUUACAAUAUUGAGGUAUAAUUAACAUGAUAAAGUGUUUCCUUCUAACGAGUUGUAGAAAUCUGAGUAACCACCCAAAAAAAGCAAUAGAAUGUUUCUGUCACCCCAAAAUACUCCCUUCUGCCCCUCUUCAGACAGUCCUUCAGCUAUUUCAUGGCUCUCACCCUACAUUAGUUUUUUUUGCACUUUUUUUUCCAGGGGUGUAGGGGAGGUGUGGGGCGACAGGGUCUGUCUUGUUCUGUCUCCCAGGCUGAAGUGCAGUGCAGUGGUAUGAUCAUGGCUCACUGCAGCCUUGGUCUCCUGGGCAUAAGUGGUCUUCCCACUUCAGCCUCCCGAGUAGCUGAGACUAUAGACUAGCAUAACCACAUUGGCUAAUUUUUUGUGGAGAAGAAGUCUCACUAUGUUGCCCAGGCUGGUCUCGAACUCCUGGGCUCAAACAAUCCUCCCACCUCAGCCUUCCAAAGUGCUGGGAUUAUAGUCAUGAGGCACCUAGUCUGGCCCCUUUGCAAGACUUUAAUCUGAAAUCUAAAUUUUUAAAAUUUAAGUACUUACAAAGGAUAUACUAUCCAACAUAUUGCAUAUUAUAUAUGUGCUUUAAAGAUUUUUUUUUUUUUUUUUUGAGAGACAGGGUCUCACUUUGUCAUCCAAGCUGGAGUGCAGUGGUGCAAACACGGCUCACCUCCUGGGCUCAAGUGAUCCUCCAGCCUCAGCUUCCCUCACAGGCAUUCACUAUCACUCCCAGCUAAUUAAAAAAAUUUGUAGACAGUGUCUCAUUAUGUUGUCCAGGCUGGUCUCAAACUCCUAGGUUUAGGUGAUUCCCCCGCCUCAGCCUCCCAAAGUGUUGGGCUUACAGCCAUGAGCCACUGUGCUUGGCUUAAAGAUAUUUUUAUGAAAGCCCUGGGGCUAUAGAUUUAGCUGAUUAAAUUUAUAGAAAAAGUCCUGUCAUAAACUGGCAAAGCCUGUUCUUAAUUUAAUUAGCCAAAUCAGACUUAACUUCCGUCAGAACAUGUCUUGGUUUUAAUUCAGAUAAACGCACAAACGUACUUCUCUGGCACAGCCUUCAGAAGGAUCAGUUCUUUUUUUUUUUUUUUUUUUGAGACAGGGUCUUGCUCUGUUGCCCAGGCUGGAGUGCACUGGCACAGUCACAGUUCCCUGCAGCCUUGACCUCCCAGAUCCAAGCAAUCCUCCCACCUAAGCCUCCUAAGUAUCUGGGUCUAUAGGCACGUGCCACCACCAUGCCCAGCUGAAUUUUGUAUUUUUUUGUACAGACAGCAUUUUGCCAUGUUGCCCACGCUGGUCCCAAACUCCUAGCCUCAAGCAACCCUCCUGCCUCAGCCUCUCAAAGUGCUAGGAUUGCAGUCCUGAGCUACUGCACCCUACCCUCUUUGCCUCUUAGGAGUCAUUUAGAUUUGUUUUGAUCCUUUUGUUUAGUGCCUCUGGAGCUGCUUACACCAAGGCAAUACCCCUUGAUAUGAUACUGGAUGGUUGAGAGGCAGCCUCUUUUUUUUUUUUUUUUUUUGAGGAUAGGGAGUAUGGCUGUUGUGAGAAAAGGGAAUUAAAGAGAAAUGGUAGAUCUGAAGAGGCCUCAUCAGAGCAUAUAUUUUAGGACAACACAUGGAAAUUGGACCUCUGUAAGUUGGUUUCCAUAGAGCUAUGCAUGUAUCCUUACCCCAUGGGAAAAUGUUGGUGUGUUCUCAAGGGUAUGCAUAUGUCAUUUUGAAGACCAAGGCCCUAGAAUUGUCAAACUUAAGGAUCAUGAAAAUCAUGAGGGUUGCUUGUUAAAAAUGUCCAAACCCGCAGAGACUGAUCUUUGAGAUCUGGACCAGGAAUUUGCAUUUGAACAAGUGUUCCUGGAAUCUCUAUGCAAGUUUUAUACAGAACAUACUUUUGGAAUCCUUGCCCUAGACAGGGGUGUCCAAUCUUUUGGCUUCCCUGAUCCACAAUGGAAGAAGAAUUAUCUUGGACCACACAUAAAAUACACUAACACUAACAAUAGCUGAUGAGCUAAAAAAAAAAAAAAAAAAUCGUGGGCCGGGCGUAGUGGCUUACGCCUGUAAUUCCAGCACUUUGGGAGGCCGAGGCAGGCAGAGCACCUGAGGUAGGGAGUUCUAGACCAGCCUGACCAACAUGGAGGAACCCCAUCUCUACUAAAAAUACAAAAAAUUAGCUGGGCAUGGUGGUGCAUGCCUGUAGUCCCAGCUACUCGGGAGGCUGAGGCAGGAGAAUCACUUGAACCUGGGAGGUGGAGGUUGUGAUGAGCUGAGAUUGUGCCAUUGCACCCCAGCCUGGGCAAUAAUAGCGAAACUGUCUCAGAAAAAAAAAAUCGCAAAAAAAAAAUCUCAUAAUGUUGUUGUUGGUUUUUUUUUUUUUUUUUUUGAGACGGAGUCUCACUCUGUUGCCCAGGCUGGAGUGCAAUGGCAUGAUCUCUGCUCACCGCAACCUCUGCCUCCUGGGUUCAGGUGGUUCUCCUGCCUCAGCCUCCCAAGUAGCUGGGACUACAGUCACAUACCACCAUGCCCGGCUAAUUUUUGUAUUUUUAGUAGAGACAGGGUUUCACUAUGUUGGCCAGGCUGGUCUUGAACUCCUGACCUCAUGAUCCACACACCUUGGCCUCCCAAAGUGCUGGGAUUACAGGCAUGAGCCACCGCACCCAGCCAAGUUAUAAUUUUUAAUAAAACAAGAAGUAAACAUUUUACUUAUGUUUAUAGAUAUUUGAUGCUAAAUUUGACACAUCAUUGCCUAUGAAAGAAUCCUCAUGCUGCUCAGCUUUACUCCUCUUCCUGCUUGCCCACCGGGGUUUUUCACUGCUUCUGUUAGCACUAAGUACUUAGACGAUCCUAAGAUAUGUGCUUGAGCCGAAUUUCAUCUUUACUUGUAGGAAACUUUAAACUAUUUCUUUUCUUUUUUUUUUGAGAUGGAGUUUUGCUCUUGUUUGCCCAGGCUGGAGUGCAGUAGAGUGAUCUCGGCUCACUGCAACCUCCGCCUCCGGGGUUCAAAUAAUUCUCCUGCCUCAGCCUCCCAAGUAGCUGGGAUUACAGGUGUGCACCACCAUGUCUGGCUAAUUUUGUAUUUUUAGUAGAGAUGGUUUCACCAUGUUGGUCAGGCUGGUCUCGAACUCCUGACCUCAGGUCAUCCACCCACCUCAGCCUCGCAAAGUGCUGAGAUUACAGGCAUGAGCCACAGUGCCCAGCUUAAACUAUUUUCUUGAUCUGUUUUUGAUUUUCUUUUUUCCUUGCCACUGCGGUACAGAUUUUUUUUACUCACUGCCACUAAACUAAAGCAAGGCAUAGUUUAUAUGUGAAGUGUUCAGAGUUUACUGCUAUAAGGAAACUUCCAAAUACUGACAUUCACCUUUUAGCUGUAGUUAUUGGGACCAUGUGCUCUGGUUUUCUGGAGACUGCCAAAUUGCUCCCAUUUUUCUGCAUCCCACCUGGUUUCUUUCUACCUGUCCCCUUUCACUUUCAAAUGUCUUCAUUUGGAUGUUAAAUUAUGUGGUCACCUAGUUAUAGGUAAGCCUUGUUCGAGUUGAAAUCUUGAUUGUGAGGAAGGAUCUGUGUCAUUGGAGCUCGUUGUUUCUGCUGCAACGUGCUGUAGACUAUGAAUAAUGAAAUCAUACCACAUUACCAUCAGAUUUCUUGUUUUAGUUGUCAUUUAAAUUAAUAUUUAUGAUUGUUAUCUUGGGCAAAAAGUUCAGAGCAGAGAUGACAAAUCAUUAGAACAACGAUGAAUUUCAGUAUUACGGCUAAAAAGUUCUUCUGUCUCAAUAUUAACUCACUCUCCUUGCAGUGUACUUCACAGUAAUUGGUAUGCUUUUUUAUUUAAUGCUUAAAUCAAACUUUAUAAAAAUCUUAGACCAGAUCUUUAGUAUGGUAUGCCAUUUCCCCAGUCUACCAAUGGAAUAGUAUGGGUUUCUAAUCCUAGGCUUGUACAAUGGAUUGGAGUUGAGCCAUGCCAGCCUCCACACUGCCACUAACUUCUGUAAUGUAAGAUUGAGUCACUGACAAGCAUUUGAAAUAUGCAGUUGUGUUUUAAUUAUAAUUUAUGUAUAGUUAGAUGUAUGUAAUGCAUUGUGUGGUAUUAUUUGCUUUGUAAGAAUUUAUUUUUAAGGGUCAAGGUCAUUUGUAACAUUUUGUGUGUGUCAAUUCAAUGCAGUGUUGGCUGCCUUUUGAAGUCUUUGAUGUAUUGGUGAAUAUUCUUCUGUUCUAUAAUACAAAGCUAUGUAAUGUUA
Molecule: small RNA, 6091 nt
Filed under: Pongo abelii (Sumatran orangutan)
Lineage: Eukaryota; Metazoa; Chordata; Mammalia; Primates; Hominidae
Description: processed transcript
Source: RNAcentral